UUUUUUUUUUUUUCCACGCGCAAGUUUUAAAUUUCUAUAUUUAUGAAUCUAAAUAACGGAAUUGGUUCAUGUCAAUUUAUAAAUUCUGACUUUUGUCAAAAUUUUAAGUUUAUUUUUCUCGUCCAAACAUAAUAUUGAAGUUUUUGAAAAUUUCUACACAACCAGACAACAUAUGAAGUGGCAUGCAGAAUUAUGCACGGUGUGUUUGUGGUAAAGACAAAGGUUUGGAAUUUUUUCUGACCACAGGAAAACUUGAGAUUGGUUUGGCGUGUAAGGUGUGUGGAGAAUGUGAUGUAUGAGGGUUGUUUUGGUAAGCAAGUGGGGGUGUAUUUAGAUUAUUUUUUAAUUUAAAAAAAUAAGUGUGGAGUGUUUUAAGCAAAUGGGGUUUAUUCAACAAUAUAUGAGGAAUGCUAAAAAAAAAAAAAUUAUAAAAAAAAACUCAUUAUAAAAAGUGUUUUUUUCCCUAUAUAAUCCACUGGCACAAAGUAAUUGAAUUGUUGGGGUCAUUAGCGAAUUCAUAUCAGCAAAAAAAAAAAAAAAGAAGCUUGGACGAAAUCCUAUCAUGGAAUGGCACUGAUGUUAGGGUAAAUUAUACAAAAUUGCCUUAAUUAUGGAUCACACAAUAAUUUUAUAUCUCAUAUUUUAAAUAUUGUAAUGUCAUAUUUCAAUUUAUGAAUUCGUUGUAAUGUCAGACCACUAUUAAUCAAUCUAUCAAAUGUACUGUUAAGUAAUGACGUGAUAAAUGUAAGGUCCAUAUUUUUCUGACGUGGAAGAUCAUGUAGAUAAAAAUAAAAUUAUAAAAUAAAUCAAUUUAAAAAAAUAAUUUUAUGCCCAAAAAAUUAAAUAAAGAGGAGUGGGACCCACCCCAACAAACCAUCCAUCUUCGCCGUUCUUCCCCUCCAUCCGCCCUCACUUUCCUUCCUUCACGACCAAAACCACAGCCCCGCGCCUCCUCCGACACCCCUCCUCCUCGUGUAUUCCAAUUCCAACCAAAACCCACAAUUCAGAUUCAUGAUUUUACUUCGAUUUUGAAUUUCAUUUAAAAAAAAGCAUAAACAAAGUUUACUCAGAUGGUGCUUCGUCCUCUCGACGAGGGUUUUGCCAUCCUCACCCUUCUUCCCCCUCUAUUCCUGAGUGCAUGCCGCACCCCACCAUCCCCUUUCUUCCCUCACACUUAUUUUUCUCUCUCGCCACGCCAGCACCCAGAACCACCAUCCCACGUCGAUGAAUCCCGCCGCAAUUGAAGCUAGAGCCGCCAACAUAGUCACCAUCUCGGCAGCUACGAUCUCGAAAGGUUGACGACGAUGGUGCUCAGGAAGAAGAUGGACAUGGUUUUGGAGGUGAGCGUGGAGGUCUGGACGAGAAGAGAUCGUUGUCGGCGAGAGAAGUUGUCUUCGCACGCUACCGCAAAACUUUGGUUGAGAGGGUCAAGCACCACCUGGAAGAUGAGAGGUGUCGGAGGAGGAGCAAAGCUGUGGUUUUAGUGGUGAAGGAAGGAAUGAGGGGUAUAUGGAGGGGGAAGAAGGGCGAGGAUGGAUGGUUUGGUUGGGGUGGGCCCCACUCAUUUUUAUUUAAUUUUUAGACAAAAAUUAUUAUUUUUGUAAAUUGAUUUUAUUUUAUAAUUUUAUUUUCUUA
Long non-coding RNA from Pyrus x bretschneideri (Chinese white pear), 1635 nucleotides. RefSeq lists it as uncharacterized. The transcript has 2 exons. The record is from RefSeq and is a predicted model, not a curated record. NCBI's taxonomy places the organism in Eukaryota, Viridiplantae, Streptophyta, Magnoliopsida, Rosales, Rosaceae.